RNAcentral lists this ribosomal RNA (417 nucleotides) under uncultured bacterium. Its description in RNAcentral is "bacterial SSU rRNA". It matches the Rfam family "Bacterial small subunit ribosomal RNA", at positions 362 to 776 of the family's 1533-position model. The record is from RNAcentral.
UAUUGGUCAAUGGGCGAGAGCCUGAACCAGCCAAGUCGCGUGAAGGAUGAAGGAUCUAUGGUUUGUAAACUUCUUUUAUAUGGGAAUAAAGUGAGGAACGUGUUCCUUUUUGUAUGUACCAUAUGAAUAAGCAUCGGCUAACUCCGUGCCAGCAGCCGCGGUAAUACGGAGGAUGCGAGCGUUAUCCUGAUUUAUUGGUUUUAAAGGGUGCGUAUGUAGUUAAGUAAGUCAGCGGUGAAAGUUUGUGGCUCAACCAUAAAAUUGCCGUUGAAACUGGUUGACUUGAGUAUAUUUUAGGUAGGCGGAAUGCGUGGUGUAGCGGUGAAAUGCAUAGAUAUCACGCAGAACUCCGAUUGCGAAGGCAGCUUACUAAACUAUAACUGACACUGAAGCACGAAAGCGUUGGGAUCAAACAGG